Molecule: ribosomal RNA, 256 nt
Filed under: uncultured bacterium
Lineage: Bacteria
Description: partial 16S ribosomal RNA
Rfam family: Bacterial small subunit ribosomal RNA
Source: RNAcentral
CGGACGGGUGAGUAACACGUGGGUAACCUGCCCUGUACAGGGGGAUAACAGUCAGGAAUGACUGCUAAUACCGCAUAAGACCACAGCACCGCAUGGUGCAGGGGUAAAAACUCCGGUGGUACAGGAUGGACCCGCGUCUGAUUAGCUGGUUGGUGAGGUAACGGCUCACCAAGGCGACGAUCAGUAGCCGGCUUGAGAGAGUGAACGGCCACAUUGGGACUGAGACACGGCCCAAACUCCUACGGGAGGCAGCAUG